Molecule: long non-coding RNA, 3530 nt
Organism: Neofelis nebulosa (Clouded leopard)
Lineage: Eukaryota; Metazoa; Chordata; Mammalia; Carnivora; Felidae
Exons: 2
Source: RefSeq, a predicted model, not a curated record
AAAGAGGGGAGAAUAAUUGCAACAUGAAUUCGUGUUUUAAUCUAAAAAUUGGUGUUCAUAUCUUCAAAUGGUAUUUAUUGAACAUCUACAAAAUGCCAUUUAUUGUAACAGGUGCUUUUAUUUCCAUGACCAGUACUACAGCCCUGUGUGGAGUUGAUACUCUGUUUCACAGGUGAGACUAUUUUGAGGCCCACAGAGUACAAGUACCUUUCUAGAUUCACACAGCUAUUUAGUGAUAAAACUUCUGAUUCUAAACUGAAUAUUGACACUACUCAGAUUCAUAGCCACUGACAUUCUACUUACCUAAGAGUCCAUUUGGAAGGAUUUCUUUUUAUUUUUUUCCUUAAGUUUAUUUCUUUAUUUUUUAGUAAUCUGUACACUCAGCAUGAUCCUUAUAUCAAGAGUCUCAUGCUCCUCCCCGACUGAGCCAGCCAGGCACCCUUGACUAUCUCUUCCUUAAUAAAUUUCCUUAAUGACCUGAGAGCUUCUUCUUGGCUUUUAACAUUCUAUGAGAUUUUUUUCUUUCCUUUCUUUCUUUUUUUUUUUUUUUUUAAGAACUCUUUGAGAUCUUGAGGACUGUCCUUUGAAAUGAUCACUGUCCCUCCAGAAAGUAAACCAAGUGCUAGCAAUACAUCAUCAUUGGUACUCAAGUAGGGAUAGAAAUGAAGUGUUAUAGACUAGCCAUUCUCUUUAGGAAGUCUCAGUCCUCUGGAUAUUUGGUGAAAGCUUUGGACCCUUUCUACAGAAGAAUACAAAAUUUUGCAUAUGAUUUCAGGGGGUACAUGAAACCUAGGUUAAGAAACCCUGUCCUAGACAUACAAGAAUGUCAUACAGAAGAUCCCCUGACUUGGAGGUCAGGAAACAAGAUUCUGCUUCAGGCCCUGUGACCCUGGACAAGGUGUCCCACUUUUUGGUUUUCUGUACCCUCACAUGUAAGGUAAUCUAGUGCCUUUCAGUUUUUAACAUGGAGGCAGUAUGAUAAAUUUACUGAAUUGGUUGUAAGACCUAAGUUCAGAUACUAACUGGACAUUUGCUAGUUGCAUAUAACUGGGCAAAAUAUUUAACCCCUCUGAGCUUCAAUUACUUAAUGAAACACAAUCUUCCUAACCUGUGUUCUUAAAGGAAUUCUAGUAAGGAUCAAAUCAGAUCAUUCCUGUGAAAGCACUUUGUCAUGGAGUAUUUCCUUCUCGUGUGUGUUAGCCACCCCUCUCUAUGCUCCACAGCACCUUCUGUGAACAUCUCCUAACAGGUGAUUUUGUUGUUGUCUGUGUAUUUCCUGGUCUCCUGCCAGCCUGUGAGCUCCUAGGGCAGGUACCAUAUAUAUUCUUUUCAUUUUGUGUUGACAGCUGUUGUGCCUGAUUCAUGUUAAACACCCCAGUUAUCUAAGUAAAUGAAUAAUAUAGUAAGUGGUUGUACUUGACUUUGAAAGUGUUAUAAAAUGUAUUGAUGGUCCACAGUGAGAUUAGAGAGAGUUUCAGAAAUCCAAGGUAAAAGGACAGAUAAUUAAGCAGUGGCAUGUAUAGAAGGCUGCACAGUAGCUCAGGGCCUUUGUACUCUGCUCCCUCCAUCUGGAAUGAUUGUCACCUGGCUCAUCUCCUGUCUGGCUCCUCAUUCUUCAGGUCUCAGCCUCAUCGUCACCUUCUCAGAGAGGUUUACCCUGACCACCCUAGCUUUAAGUAAUCCCCUGUCCUCCCAUUCAUCUCCGUCUGCUUCCUUAAUAAGAUUUCUUGUCUGUAAUUAUUUCUUUAUCUUUCUCCCACUUGAAUAAAGGUCCUUGAAGGGAGGGAUGAUGCUUGUCUUUUUCACUAUUAUAUUUCCAGUGCCUGUCAUACAGAAAGAACACAGUAUAUAUUUUGCGCCCCUGUAUUUAUUUUUUUGAGAGAGAGCAAGGGGAGGAGGGGCAAAGAGAGAGGGAGACAAUCCCAAGCAGGCUGCAUGCUGUCAGCACAGAGCGUGAUGUGGGGCUCAAACUCACGAACAGUGAGAUCGUGACUUGAGCUGAAAUCAAAGAGUCCAACGCUUAACCAGCUGAGCCAUCUAGGCACCCCAAGAACACAAUAUAUAUUUGUUGAAUAAAUUCAUAAAAGUUUGGUGUGCAGGAACUUGGGUCUAAAUUAAUAGAUUAAGAAACAGAUGUUUUUCUGUUCCCUAGCUGUGUUCAUGCUUUAUCACAUAUUUGGCACCUAGCACCAGGGUGACCAACCUUCCCAGUUUGCCCAGGACCAUGGUUUCUGGGAUGUGGACUUUCAGUGCCAAAAUCUGGACAGUCUUGGGCAGACUAGGAUGAUUGAUCAGCCUACCUGGUAUAUAGCAGACACUUGGUGCUUUGAACUUUUUACUGCUUCUCUUCUAUUUUUUUGAAAAAAUUUUUAAUGUUCAUUUUUGAGAGAGGGAGAGAGAGCGUGAGCGGGGAAGGGGUGGAGACAGGAUCUGAAGAGAGCUCUGUGCUGACAGCAGAGAACCUGAUGCUGGGCUUUAACUCGUGAACCUCUAGAUCAUGUCCUCAGCUGAAGCUGGAUGCUUAACUGACUGAGCCACCCAGGUGCUCCUGGUGCUUUGAACUUUUUAAAGCUCUUUCAUACCUUUUACCUUUUUCGAUUAUUAAAAUGUGUAAGGUGUAGGGCAGGUGAUACAGCCUGAUAACGUUAUUUGACACAUGAAGCAACCGAAGCUCAAGAGAGAUUGUCACAUGAUUAGGUUUUCUUAUUCCUACUCUAAGAUUUACCACCAAUCAAGAGAAUAAUGUUGGCUCAGUGCCUACCCUACAGUAGGUAUAAGUACAUACUUUUAAAAAUCAAAGUUACAAUAUGGUUAAGAUACUAGGUUGUUAAUUAGGAGCUGGGACACUUGAGAUGAGAAUCUUUAAAAUGGGGUUAGUGCCCAUCCCUAUUCUAGUUCCUAAGAUGUGAGAGGAAGAGAUGCUUUUGUUUUGUUUUGUUUUGUUUUGUUUUUUAGCUUCCAGGAGAAAGGAUGUAUGAGAGAAUAUGUGGGAGAAAGUAGACCUCCACUUUUCAAAUGCUCAUUAGCACUUGUUGGGUGCAUGGUGUGAGAGUAAAAUGAAAUAUAAGGUCUUCUUUGCCCAGUUAGCAAGAACUAAAAUAUUAAGGUUUUUUUAUGUUUUAUUCCAAAGGAAAAAUAGACAUUUUGGCAAAAUCUUUGGAGCAGUGUUUUUUUCUUUGGGUAUUCCCCAACUUUCAUAGCUAAUGCAUUGAUCCCCCCCAGCUAAUGCAUUGUUAAAAAUUAGAAGUGAAAAGUUGGAGCACCUGUCUGGCUCAGUAGGAAGAGCAUGUGAUUUUGCACAUUGGUUGUAGAGAUUACUUAAAUAAACAAACAAACAAAUUUGUUUUAAAAAGGUCCAGGGGCACCCUGGUGGCUCAGUUGGUUAAACCUCUGACUCUUGAUUUCUGCUCAGGCCUUGAUCUCGCAUGAGUUUAUGUGAGUUUGAGCCCCACGUCAGACUCUGCGCUGACAGUGCAGAGCCUGCUUAGGAUUCUCUCUCUCGUGUCUCUCUCUCUCUCUCUCUCUCUCUC